This 1891-nucleotide long non-coding RNA is filed under the name Salmo salar (Atlantic salmon). RNAcentral's name for it is "lncRNA (ENSSSAG00000090402.1)". The record is from RNAcentral. Lineage: Eukaryota; Metazoa; Chordata; Actinopteri; Salmoniformes; Salmonidae.
CAGCCACUAAGUCAAAGUCAACCUGCUGUGGACCUCCAUACCACCGGGGGCGAUAGAGAGCAUCCUGCCUCUUCUGGACAGAGUCUCCCAACUCAGUGUUGACAGGAAGUUACUGUUGAGUUUCCUCCAGUGCUGUGCUGCCUCUCAGAUCCAGCAAGGGGCACCAUCACCACCAACAGCAGUAUGGCUGCUCAGGUCUCUGCACUACAGGCUGGACUUCUCCUGCUCCUCCUCUGUGGACCUGUCAGCUCAGGACCAGGGGGAGGCUCUGUGUCUGACCACUGACCACUGCAGGGCCAUCAGCUCUGUUCUGAAGCAGAACCAACACAGCACCCAGCUGGUCCAGAACCAGGUCCAGCUCAUCCUAAGAGACUGUGAGGUGGAGGACAGAGCACUGAGAGAGCUGCUUCCCAUCCUGCAUAUUGUCAAGCUGAGCCCCAGCAAAGCUCUGCUACUUCAGCUGCUGGACCUUGUGUGUGAGGGGAUUGAAGAGGGGCUGCUGAGGCACACAGAGUCCCUGUGCAGAGCCCUGGAUGGGGAGCUGGACCUCAGUGAGACCAGGCUGGACCAGAAGGCCUGUGGAUCUCUGGCCCUGGUUCUGGAACACUCAGAGGGUCUGUCAGAACUGGACCUCAGCCACUGUCAACUCACAGACCACCACCUACAGCCCCUGAUCACACACCUGCAUAAAGUACAAGUCCUGGACCUGAGUCACAAUGACAUCACUGAUGCUCUGACUGACAGAAUACUCCAACUGGUCUCUACCAACACUUCAAUACACACCGUACGACUCUUCAACAACAGAAUCAUGAACAGCACCGCUUUCCUCACAGACAAGAGGUUUGAGAUUGGAAUAAACAUCAGGUCUUAGUCCAGGAAGAGGAAGAGAUGGCUGUUAGGUCUUAGUCCAGGAAGAGGAAGAGAUGGCUGUUAGGUCUUAGUCCAGGAAGAGGAAGACAUGGCUGUUAGGUCUUAGUCCAAAUCAAAAUAAAAUGUUAUUGGUCACCUACACAUGGUUAGCAGAUGUUAUUGCGAGUGUAGUGAAAUGCUUAUGCUUCUAGAUCUGCCAGGGCAGCAGUAUCUAACAGGUAAUAUCUAACAAUUUCACAACAAAACCUAAUACACACAGUCUAGUAAAGGAAUGAGAUGAGAAUAUAUAAAUAUAUAAUAUAUGGAUGAGCAGUGACAGAGCAGCUAAGAUGCAAUAGAUAGUAAAGAAUAGAUAGUGAAGGAUACAGUAUAUACAUAUGAGAUGAGUAAUGUGAGAUAUGUAAACAUUCUUAAUAAAAUCAACUAUAUGUACUGAACUGGUCUGAUGCUUUAAGCAAGCUGUUUGAUUAAAUAAUGAAGACACAGAAAUGACUCGAGGGAGCCAGAGAUCAACAUAGCCUUACAAGAAGAAAAAACCCUCUUCCUUAGCCUACUCCUCCCGCUGCUGCUGGCCUUUGUACAUUCUGACGUUAUGCUCCUAAAGUUUCUGAUAAUAGGCUACACCAGCAGUCGGCAACCUUUUCCAAUUUAUCUGACCAUUUCUACUGAUCUGGUGCCAGUUAGGAUUUUCAUAUUCACAUUUUACUGGAACAGUUUCAUUUAAUUUAUAGUCGUCUUUGUAUCUCAACAUCAUUCUGUGGUUAAUCUAUAUUCUAUCUAAAUGAAAAUGAUACAAAUAUAAAAUAAAUGUUUAUUGCCAUUGCUAACUAUGUAAUAAUAGUCCACAUAAAGCCAAAACAUUUAAACAUUGCAGCCAGCAGUUAGAAAAUAUCCAGAUAAAAAAUAAAUAUCCUAUAAAUCACAUUGGCUACGCCUGUUCUGUUUGAGACCUACAGGGAAGAAAUCUCACCGCUGCUCUGACUGUGGGAAAGGUUGCAAAUCUUCAUCAGAACUUAAAAUA